This 253-nucleotide ribosomal RNA is filed under the name uncultured bacterium. Its description in RNAcentral is "partial 16S ribosomal RNA". It matches the Rfam family "Bacterial small subunit ribosomal RNA", at positions 524 to 776 of the family's 1533-position model. The record is from RNAcentral.
UACGUAGGGAGCAAGCGUUGUCCGGAAUCAUUGGGCGUAAAGCGCGCGUAGGUGGCCCGGUAAGUCCGCUCUGAAAGUCAAAGGCUCAACCUUUGAAAGCGGGUGGAUACUGCCAGGCUAGAGUCCGGAAGAGGCGAGUGGAAUUCCUGGUGUAGCGGUGGAAUGCGCAGAUAUCAGGAGGAACACCAACGGCGAAGGCAGCUCGCUGGGACGGUACUGACACUGAGGCGCGAAAGCGUGGGGAGCGAACAGG